Piliocolobus tephrosceles (Ugandan red Colobus) is the source of this 574-nucleotide long non-coding RNA. RefSeq lists it as uncharacterized. NCBI's taxonomy places the organism in Eukaryota, Metazoa, Chordata, Mammalia, Primates, Cercopithecidae. The record is from RefSeq and is a predicted model, not a curated record. The transcript is spliced from 2 exons.
AUGCACCUUGCGGAUCCUGAAGCCGGUCAGGUAACGAGGAGCAGAGGUGUGGGGAAGACCUGGAGGGAGGCCUUACUGGGUGCCAACCAGCCUAACCAGCCGAGGCUACAGACCAGAAGUGCUUCUGACAUUAACCGGACACAGGGAAGGUGUGUAGGAUGGGUAGUGAAGUGACUGCAGAGGCCUCUGGGGAUUGUAGUUUUGGAGCUAGAGAGGCGGGAAAGCAGUUGGUUUUGCCCACACAGGGUGCCUCUGACAGCUGCACAGCACACACAACCAAGUUUAGGAGCCCACUGUUAAGAUGCCCAAGUGACAUUGACAAGUUUUGCUGGGAACCAAUGAGGUCUGCUGACCACAAGAGCAUCGCGGUAAUGCUGAAAGAUUCUGGAAAAUGUGGUCCAGGUUGGCCAGUAUGCACUGACCUUCCCCUGAAGGUGCAGCUUGGAGGAAACUUCUGGAGGGUGGGGUGGUGCUGAAGAGGAGGCAACAUUGUUACCGUUUUGUUCAACAUGGGUGUUUUCUUUAUGCAUCAAUUUGUAUUUUUAAAGAUAUUACAUUAAAAUUUUGUUUAUCU